This is a long non-coding RNA of Haemorhous mexicanus (house finch), 1016 nucleotides long. RefSeq lists it as uncharacterized. Lineage: Eukaryota; Metazoa; Chordata; Aves; Passeriformes; Fringillidae. The transcript has 2 exons. The record is from RefSeq and is a predicted model, not a curated record.
GGCGCGGCGCUGCCCAACGCGCAGUGCCCCAAAGUCGAGGGUCUUGCUCUCGAAGGCACCCUCGACGUUGCAGAAGAGCCCCCCGCGCUUCGGACGAGGCGCCGCCGCCGAGCCGGGCCGCGCCAGGUAACUUGAAUUUCUGGAUUAUUCAGGUCUAAAGGGUUAGGAGAAGAGAAGAUGGACUAAAUGAAAACAGACUGUGUCUGUAAACUUGGAAGAGUUACUUUAAAAGCCUCGCAUUACACAGCAUGGUGAAAUACUGGUCAGUGUCUGCCCUUUCUUUCUCUAAAGCAGCACCAGAGAGGGUUGCAUUUGGUUGUUCUUGGGCUCUUACGUGAACUUCAAUACGCAGCUGCCCCAGCAUUGUGGCUUCAUGAUGCUCAGCACCAUGAGUGCCAUGCACCAGAGCCCUGCUGCCACCUCACCAGGAUGUGCCAGGAGAAGAGCCCAGCACUGUCACGUCUCAGAUGCAGGGGCAGCAGCAGUGGCUGACAGCUAGAGAAGAAAGUAUCCCUUCAAAUAGCCAGAAAACGUUUGUUCCGCAGUUUUUUCUACUCCCAUUCUCCUGGCAAAUGCCCCUCCUCUGUAACUGGAGGCUUAGCAGCAAGACCACCAGUACUGGCCAAGCAAAUGCACACAAAGUGGCUGCCCAGCAGGUCUUUACCUUCCUAAGGGACUGCCUUAGCAUAAAGGAAUCAGUCCUCCUGCUGCAAGUGGGAUCCACUGAGCAGAAGAUGAAACCCCCUCUCAGAUAGCCCCUGCCCGCGGUGAGUGGGAUGUGCUGAUCUUGGCGCUGGCGGCUGGCAUGCUUCACACAGCCAGCUGAGCCCCUGCCUCCUCGUGGCCAGGCAAUAGCACAUGAGGAGUGGGCCUCUCCUGGCAGGAACAGCACUGCCGGCUGCCCUGUGCCUGUGUGCACUAACCGCAGUGGAGUUAGAGUGAACCCCUUGUUCUGGCUGGGACAACAUCUCUGUACAGCUCUGCAACUUUAUGGGGAAUUAAAAUUCUCUGGAACA